UUAUCCAAAGCCAUAUUUGAUUAUUAUGAGCUUUGAUAAAAUAUACUCUGUUGAUUCUAUUACUGGAGAUAUUCAUGUCAGCACUAUUAAUGGCUCCAAAACGAAAUUUUUGCGAAAAAUGUUUUUGCUCAUGACAUUACAGUUGACUGGAUUGGUCGUCGUAUCUUUUACAUUGACUCCACGAACAUUAUCUACCAAAUUUAUUUGAAAAAGAAAAUUACAAGUGUUAUGAGGCUUCAA
Molecule: long non-coding RNA, 240 nt
Organism: Xenia sp. Carnegie-2017
Lineage: Eukaryota; Metazoa; Cnidaria; Anthozoa; Malacalcyonacea; Xeniidae
Exons: 2
Source: RefSeq, a predicted model, not a curated record